This 615-nucleotide long non-coding RNA is filed under the name Ananas comosus (pineapple). RNAcentral's name for it is "long non-coding RNA (ACOM_LNC032527)". The record is from RNAcentral. Lineage: Eukaryota; Viridiplantae; Streptophyta; Magnoliopsida; Poales; Bromeliaceae.
UAUCGUACUGGUAUUUUAAUUUUUUUGAAACCGUUAAAUCGUCCUGUCCGAGUAGGGCCGUGUUCUGUGUUCUGUGUUCAUAUAUUGCUGCGAUUUCAAUAGGUACGAAUACUCGAAAUUUUAUCUGAACCCAAAUACGAACGGAACGAAUUUAUCCGAUGUUAAAUGGAUAUGAUUUCGGAUAUGAAUAUCAAAAAUAAAAAACCCGACGGAUAAGGGUACAGAUAUGGAUUUUGACUAUACCUGACCCAAUCCGAUUCGAACCCAAAUUUAUUUUACAUUAUAUAUGAUAUGUAUAUAAAAAUUUGAUGUUAUAUUUGAAUUUGUAUUUUAAAAAUUUAGAUUUAAUGUAAUAUAUUUUGAAAUAUUGAAAAGAGGAAUAAUUAUUUCGGGUUCGGAUUUUUAUAUUCGAAUUUGGUUCAGAUUUCGAGUUUUUAGUUGGAUUCGGUUUUGGAUAAUUGGAUAUGGAUUUUUGAAAUCCAGUAGGUUUGGGUUUGGAUUUCGGGUUCAUAUUCAAGUUCGGAUUUUUAAAAUCUGCCCCGAAUCCGACCCGUUGACAUCCCUAGUGCCGCUUAGGUAUGUAGGGUUUAAGGAAUACGGUGCAUGAGAUUUGAG